RNAcentral lists this ribosomal RNA (478 nucleotides) under uncultured bacterium. Its description in RNAcentral is "partial 16S ribosomal RNA". It matches the Rfam family "Bacterial small subunit ribosomal RNA", at positions 28 to 507 of the family's 1533-position model. The record is from RNAcentral.
GACGAACGCUGGCGGCGUGCUUAACACAUGCAAGUCGAACGUGAUUUUUGUGGAAAUUCUUUCGGGAAUGGAAAUGAAAUGAAAGUGGCGAACGGGUGAGUAACACGUGAGCAACCUACCUUACACAGGGGGAUAGCCGUUGGAAACGACGAUUAAUACCGCAUGAGACCACAGAAUCGCAUGAUAUAGGGGUCAAAGAUUUAUCGGUGUAAGAAGGGCUCGCGUCUGAUUAGCUAGUUGGAAGGGUAAAGGCCUGCCAAGGCGACGAUCAGUAGCCGGUCGGAGAGGAUGAACGGCCACAUUGGAACUGAGACACGGUCCACACUCCUACGGGAGGCAGCAGUAGGGAAUAUUGCACAAUGGGGGGAACCCUGAUGCAGCGACGCCGGGUAAGCGAAGAAGGUUUUCGAAUCGUAAAGCUGCGUGCUAUGAGAAGAUAAUGACGGUACCAUAGGAGGAAGCCCCGGCUAAAUACGUG